Molecule: ribosomal RNA, 253 nt
Filed under: uncultured bacterium
Lineage: Bacteria
Description: partial 16S ribosomal RNA
Rfam family: Bacterial small subunit ribosomal RNA
Source: RNAcentral
UACGUAGGGUGCGAGCGUUGUCCGGAAUUACUGGGCGUAAAGAGCUCGUAGGUGGUUUGUCGCGUUGUCCGUGAAAACUCACAGCUCAACUGUGGGCGUGCGGGCGAUACGGGCAGACUGGAGUACUGCAGGGGAGACUGGAAUUCCUGGUGUAGCGGUGGAAUGCGCAGAUAUCAGGAAGAACACCCGUGGCGAAGGCGGCUCUCUGGGACGGUACUGACGCUGAGACGCGAAAGCGUGGGGAGCGAGCAGG